Molecule: ribosomal RNA, 255 nt
Filed under: uncultured bacterium
Lineage: Bacteria
Description: partial 16S ribosomal RNA
Rfam family: Bacterial small subunit ribosomal RNA
Source: RNAcentral
UACGUAGGGUGCGAGCGUUGUCCGGAAUUAUUGGGCGUAAAGAGCUUGUAGGCGGUUUGUCGCGUCUGCCGUGAAAAUUCGAGGCUCAACCUCGAACUUGCGGUGGGUACGGGCAGACUAGAGUGUGGUAGGGGAGACUGGAAUUCCUGGUGUAGCGGUGAAAUGCGCAGAUAUCAGGAGGAACACCGGUGGCGAAGGCGGGUCUCUGGGCCGAUGACUGACGCUGGAGGAGCGAAAGCGUGGGGAGCGAACAGG